UGGGGGAUAUUGCACAAUGGGCGAAAGCCUGAUGCAGCGACGCCGCGUGGGGGAUGAAGGCUUUCGGGUUGUAAACCUCUUUCGCUAUCGAACAAGGCCCGCUUAGGGUGGGUUGAGGGUAGGUGGAGAAGAAGCGCCGGCUAACUACGUGCCAGCAGCCGCGGUAAUACGUAGGGCGCGAGCGUGGUCCGGGGUUAUUGGGCGUAAAGGGCUUGUAGGCGGGUUGUUGCGCCUGCUGUGAAAACGCGGGGCUUAACUUCGCGCGUGCAGUGGGUACGGGCAGGCUUGAGUGUGGUAGGGGUGACUGGAAUUCCAGGUGUAGCGGUGGAAUGCGCAGAUAUCUGGAGGAACACCGAUGGCGAAGGCAGGGCACUGGGCCAUUACUGACGCUGAGGAGCGAAAGCAUGGGUAGCGAACAGG
This 420-nucleotide ribosomal RNA is filed under the name bacterium. RNAcentral's name for it is "partial 16S ribosomal RNA". It matches the Rfam family "Bacterial small subunit ribosomal RNA", at positions 355 to 776 of the family's 1533-position model. The record is from RNAcentral.